Non-coding RNA from Plectropomus leopardus (leopard coralgrouper), 377 nucleotides. The record is from RefSeq and is a predicted model, not a curated record. NCBI's taxonomy places the organism in Eukaryota, Metazoa, Chordata, Actinopteri, Perciformes, Serranidae.
CUGUCUCUCUCGUCUUUACGCCGCUCAUCCUCUCCUCUCUACCUGCAGGUUGGUUUCUUCCCCUGCGACUGUGUUGAGCUGAUAAAUGACAAGAUCCCCCCCAGUGUUCAAAGCUCGGUGCCAAAACCAGUGUGUAAGAAGCAUGGGAAGCUGGUAACAUUCCUGAGGACUUUUAUGAAGUCCCGACCCCCACCUCAGAAGCUGCGGCAGCGCGGCAUCCUCAGAGAGAGAGUGUUUGGCUGUGACCUGGGGGAACAUCUCCACAACUCAGGACAUGAGGUCCCGCAGGUUGUUAAGAGCUGUGCUGACUUCAUAGAGAAACAUGGCGUUGUGGAUGGUAUCUACAGGCUGUCUGGGAUCUCCUCCAACAUCCAGAA